RNAcentral lists this unclassified non-coding RNA (243 nucleotides) under soil metagenome. RNAcentral describes it as "partial internal transcribed spacer 1". The record is from RNAcentral.
GAAAGAUCGAUUCCGACAAACUAAGUAUGGACGAUCAAAUCCAUAUCCACCUUGUGUGCACUCAUUGACCGUUUGCUUUGGCAGGAAGGAGCCUUCGAUCCGGAGGCGCUGAGGCGUCAUUUGUUUGUGACAGUCUCGGGCCUGCCAGAGUUUUUUUUUCCUGAACUCACGCCUAUUUUUUGCUUGGACUGAACCUUUGUUCCGAUUCUCUUGUGGGAUCGGUCAAACUAAAUAAAAAAAAUA